GACGAACGCUGGCGGCGCGCCUAACACAUGCAAGUCGAACGGAGUCACGAGGAGCUUGCUUUUCUUGACUUAGUGGCGAACGGGUGAGUAACGCGUGAGUAACCUGCCCUGGAGUGGGGGACAACAGCUGGAAACGACUGCUAAUACCGCAUAAGCCCACGGAUCUGCAUGGAUCUGCGGGAAAAGGAUUUAUUCGCUCUAGGAUGGACUCGCGUCCAAUUAGCUAGUUGGUGAGGUAACGGCCCACCAAGGCGACGAUUGGUAGCCGGACUGAGAGGUUGAGCGGCCACAUUGGGACUGAGACACGGCCCAGACUCCUACGGGAGGCAGCAGUGGGGGAUAUUGCACAAUGGGGGAAACCCUGGUGCAGCGACGCCGCGUGGAGGAAGAAGGUUUUCGGAUUGUAAACUCCGGUCAUUAGGGACGAUAAUGACGGUACCUAACAAGAAAGCACCAGCUAACUACGUG
Molecule: ribosomal RNA, 468 nt
Filed under: uncultured bacterium
Lineage: Bacteria
Description: partial 16S ribosomal RNA
Rfam family: Bacterial small subunit ribosomal RNA
Source: RNAcentral